RNAcentral lists this transfer RNA (74 nucleotides) under Thermodesulfobacteriales bacterium. RNAcentral describes it as "tRNA-Met". It matches the Rfam family "tRNA", at positions 16 to 71 of the family's 71-position model. Rfam says of the family: Transfer RNA (tRNA) molecules are approximately 80 nucleotides in length. Their secondary structure includes four short double-helical elements and three loops (D, anti-codon, and T loops). Lineage: Bacteria; Pseudomonadati; Thermodesulfobacteriota; Thermodesulfobacteria; Thermodesulfobacteriales. The record is from RNAcentral.
UGCAAGUUCAUACAAUAUAUAAAAUCGGGCUCAUAACCCGAAGGUCGUAGGUUCAAAUCCUACCCCCGCUACCA